RNAcentral lists this transfer RNA (83 nucleotides) under Oryctolagus cuniculus (rabbit). It matches the Rfam family "tRNA". From Rfam's summary of the family: Transfer RNA (tRNA) molecules are approximately 80 nucleotides in length. Their secondary structure includes four short double-helical elements and three loops (D, anti-codon, and T loops). The record is from Rfam by way of RNAcentral. Lineage: Eukaryota; Metazoa; Chordata; Mammalia; Lagomorpha; Leporidae.
GGCGCUGUAGUGUAGUGGUUUAGCACACUGGCCUGAAGUGCCGGCAUCCCAUAUGGGCACCGGUUCUAGUCCCGUCUGCCCCU